UACGUAGGGUGCAAGCGUUGUCCGGAAUUAUUGGGCGUAAAGAGCUCGUAGGCGGUUUGUCGCGUCUGGUGUGAAAAUCCAGGGCUUAACCCUGGACCUGCAUCGGGUACGGGCAUACUAGAGUGCGGUAGGGGAGAUCGGAAUUCCUGGUGUAGCGGUGAAAUGCGCAGAUAUCAGGAGGAACACCGGUGGCGAAGGCGGAUCUCUGGGCCGUAACUGACGCUGAGGAGCGAAAGCAUGGGGAGCGAACAGG
Molecule: ribosomal RNA, 253 nt
Filed under: uncultured bacterium
Lineage: Bacteria
Description: partial 16S ribosomal RNA
Rfam family: Bacterial small subunit ribosomal RNA
Source: RNAcentral